CCCUACAUUCUCCACAAGGUCCUGCCCUGAAGUGCCACUUUGAGAGCAUGGCUUCAGAUUAAAAACGCAGGGGCCUCCUUUAGCAAUUUCCCACCCCCCAGCAAAGCAAAACAACUCUCUGAGCUGCUAGGACCAACUAGCGGGGCUUCCCAGCGCACCAGGGGCUGGCACCUUCGCCCUACCACCCUCCUCCAAACCAAAGGCUCAACUCACCAUAAAGAGAAGUAGGAGGCUGAAGGGGAUUGUGUCUCUGCCGCUCCGUCCAGCAGCGGCUCAGAAGCAAAGAGUUCGCACCCCCUGGGCACGGGCAGCGUAGAGAGAGCCCAGGGGCAGCUGGGACGCUUGCCGGCCCCCGGAGCCCCUUCCCCUCAGGAAGGACGCGGCGGCUCUCUCCCGCCUUCACCAGGGCAUCCUGAGUUCCCCUCUCCGAGCCCCGCUGCCUUCCUCCUCCUCCCUCACAAGUAUCACUUGGGCUGCAGCCAAACGCGAGCGGGCAAAGCGCCCGUCCAGGGUGCGAGCCUCACGCUGGCAGAGAAAUUCCUGACGAGGAGUCCCAAGCUCGCGAGGAGAGUCCGGGGCAGCUGGUGGUGAGGAGGAGCUUGCAAGGGCAGUCGAGAGAGCACCUUGUGCAGCGGUCCCCUAGCUGGGAGCUCGCAGGCGAAACCUGCAGCUGGCGGCGAGCUCCCCAGCGCGCGCCUCACGCUGGCCGAGCCAUCCCUGGAGAGGAGGCUGGCGCUCGCAACAGGAGCCUGGCGCAGCUCGCGGCGAGGUUCCCCGUUAGGUGAGCCUCGAGCUUGCACGAGGAACUCCCCCCUCCUGCGUAGGAGCCUGGAGAGCUUACAGAGAACCCCACUCCCCAGCUGGCGAGCCCCGCGUCGGGGGAUUUCCCGGGAGCCACUCGAGCCAGGUGACUUUGGGUUGCCGGGUUCGCCUCAAGGCAGCAGGGGGAGGCGCGGCUGCUCCCCAGCCAGCGCUGCAAAGUGGCUCCGGAGAGGGAGCGAGGUGACCUUCAAGCCCGCCGCGGGGGUGGGCGAAGCAGGCGGCUGCACGAGCCGCGCUGCACGCGAGCAGCCGCGGCGAGGAGAGCCCUGGCGAACAAGAGCAAAGAGGCCGGCGUUGGGAGGGGGCGAGCGGGUCUCCCUGCCCAGCAUCCCACCCUCCUCCACGCGCCGUUACGCCUGCACCUCGGGAUUGGCAGGUGCAUGCAGGCGCCCGGCGCUCUGCUCUGGCUCUCUCUGCUCAGCCAUCGAGGGACCCUCUACUAGCCCCACAGGGCCCAGGGGCUCUGGGAGGCCGUGGGGUGGGGGGCAGGGACACUCCACUCCACUCUGUUCAGAAGCACAUUACUUGCCAUCACGCAGAGAAACCAUUUGGCGAGAGGAGGGAGCGAGUGUAAAAUGGAUACUAGCCUAGGAGAUGGCACAGCUGCUGGUUUAUUACACUAGAGAGAUGGCUACAACUUUUCCUGCAAAGGGUUGUCACAAGCGGGCUCGAUAAAAAGCCAACCUAAAACCGGGGCUCCCAUAGCAAAACUAGGCAGGGUUUGAAACUGCUGCCUGUCUGACAAAUAAUAAUACUUAAGUGACAGUUAGGAAGUUGCUGAUUAAAAUGAUGCCUUUGGCAAUACUGAGAGAUCUUUGCCUAUUUCCCUCCCUCCCUCGGAAAACAAGUCUUAGAGGAAUUCUAAUGCUGAACUAAUGAGAAGAGGUAUUGCAGCAUCCCCAGCUCCAUGAAUUAUUGUUAAACAGGUCUGACAGCAGCUAGUUCCGAGAAAGUUUGACAAAUAAACAACAUCAGGACCUGUCA
Molecule: long non-coding RNA, 1806 nt
Organism: Chrysemys picta bellii (western painted turtle)
Lineage: Eukaryota; Metazoa; Chordata; Testudines; Emydidae
Source: Ensembl